This 254-nucleotide ribosomal RNA is filed under the name uncultured bacterium. RNAcentral describes it as "partial 16S ribosomal RNA". It matches the Rfam family "Bacterial small subunit ribosomal RNA", at positions 524 to 776 of the family's 1533-position model. The record is from RNAcentral.
UACAGAGGGUGCGAGCGUUGUCCGGAAUCACUUGGCGUAAAGGGCGCGUAGGUGGUGGCUUAAGCGUGCGGUGAAAGCUCGGAGCUCAACUCCGAGUCGGCCGUGCGAACUGGGCUCACUGGAGCAUAGUAGAGGCAGGUGGAAUUCCGGGUGUAGCGGUGGAAUGCGUAGAGAUCCGGAAGAACACCGGUGGCGAAGGCGGCCUGCUGGGCUAUGGCUGACACUGAGGCGCGACAGCGUGGGGAGCAAACAGG